This is a long non-coding RNA of Jaculus jaculus (lesser Egyptian jerboa), 1043 nucleotides long. RefSeq lists it as uncharacterized. Lineage: Eukaryota; Metazoa; Chordata; Mammalia; Rodentia; Dipodidae. The record is from RefSeq and is a predicted model, not a curated record. The transcript has 5 exons.
GGGACAUCCGCGCUCAAGCCCCUGUGGCCCAGCCCUCCCAGGGGGUUCCCGAUCACCCCAACCUUGGACUCUAUACACCUGCAAGCCUGCAGGGGAAGUGCCUAAAGAAACUUCCCCUGUGCAGGUGCGUGUUGGAUUGUUUGGUCGUAAAGGGAUGGUGAUGAGGCGCGGGGCCGCAGCCCCCCUCCCCCCAGAUUGUGAUGUCUCCAGUUGAGGCCAUCCAGAAAGCGGCUUUCAAGGGAAGGCCAGCAGUCAAGCAGGGCUGGAGGCCCUUCCAUGAACAUACCUGUGUCCCCAAGAGGAGUAUACCGUGAAGGAGUGAGCGACCGGUCAUUCAUCGCUAACGUGAUAACCAGAUAGUGGAGAAUGACAGAUCAAAGUCAACUCCAGAGGAGAGAAAAUUGGCUUGGCAAAUUUCUGGGAAAAUAUACUUAAUCUCUACCACGAGAUAGAUGGUCUGGAACUUGGCAUGGAGCAGCUGUUUGUUAAGACAAAGAUAACUGUUCUUGAGAAUGGGCCGGAGGAGGCAAGAUCACCUUUAAUUGAAUCCCAACUGUGUACCGGAUGUUGGACCAACAGCUUAAAUAACUGCUUUGCUUUGUAUCAAAAUGGAAGGAAUUUUAGGUGGUUUCCAAGUGGCCUAGAAGCCAGCACUGACUAUGAGCUGACCUCUACAAUGUAUUUGGAUAUCCAGUGAACUAAUGUGGCCCCUUCAGGGUCUCUGAGCCCCUUAGGAGCUCACAGUAUCUCUAGCCUGGUUGCCAUGUCAGACCCUCAUAUGUCAAUUACAUGUAUCCACUCUUUGGUCCUCACCACCCCCAGUGCUAUGGUUUGCAUGUGGUUUGUCCCCAUGGGUUCAUGUGCUGGAAGCAUGGUCCCUAGGGUGGCAAUGAGAGCUAGUGGGAACCUUAAGAGUUGUGAUAUAGGGGCUGGAGAGAUGGCUCAGCAGUUAAGGCUCUUGCCUGCAAAGCCUAAUGACCCCGGGCCAGUUCCCCAGUACCCAUGUAAAACCAGAUGCACAAAGUGGCACAUGUGCCCAUUCU